UCCCAUGGCCCACGUUGUUCUCAGCACUU
Molecule: non-coding RNA, 29 nt
Filed under: Rattus norvegicus (Norway rat)
Lineage: Eukaryota; Metazoa; Chordata; Mammalia; Rodentia; Muridae
Source: RNAcentral